RNAcentral lists this long non-coding RNA (22994 nucleotides) under Coffea arabica (coffee). Its description in RNAcentral is "long non-coding RNA (CARA_LNC001857)". The record is from RNAcentral. Lineage: Eukaryota; Viridiplantae; Streptophyta; Magnoliopsida; Gentianales; Rubiaceae.
UUAGAAGCAAGUAAAGCAGCUUUUAUAUGGGCAGAAAAAAAUUUUGCUACCCAAGCCAGCUACGGAAAGAUACGAGAACACACAAUUAUACUGCACUAACUAUUUCACAUUAUAUUCAAGGUUUUCUUCAAUAAUAAACAGUAUACGCUUGUUAUUAUGCAUGAUCCUAGUGCGAAACUUAAAAAAAAACAAACACAUAAAUUAGGCAAACACAUCCUUUUUAGCGCUUCAGACACCUUUUCCACCUUUCAUUAGUUUAGAAUAAUAACUAGCUCAUCUUCUUUUUGGCAUGAGAAAAUCAGGAGGUAGAGAUAGUGGGCUUUUUAGUCUCUUGAGCUGACAAAAAACUAAGAAGAACGAGGAAAAAGUUCAAAAUGGUCUCCUGAACUAAACAAUUAUCAAGAAAUAGCAAUUGAUGAUCUUAGCAUUCAUACAAAACAAAUUGACGUAUCUUUUGAUAACUUUUUUAUUUGUUUCUUCAUUAAACAUUUUACCACCACAAAAGUUGAAGCUUUCGGAGAAAUAUAACAGCAAGAAUCACGAAAUAAGAUGUUCUUAACACUUAGUGACUAGUAAUCUGCUGCCCAGGGAAGGAAAGAGCCUGCUGGCAGUAGCAAAAGGGGAGGGCAUCAGCAUCUUUUACUCUUCCCUUAUCCAUAAAGCUCCUGUAUCCAUAAUAUCACAAUACCUGUAGCUUAGGAUAUAUCUGGGACAUAGCAUCCUUCAAUUUGGUUGCCUACAGAAGAACAAGCACCAUAAAAGCUUAACUACAAUACAUCAUCCAAAUAGAAGUCAUCUUUAGAAGAAGCUGAUAAGUAAAUGAUCCAUGACUGACAACACAACUCUAUUGCAAAUUAUGUGCCACAUCCAACAAGUUCAUUACUGUUGAAGGGACAUAUAACCAAGCAAUUUCUAGAAAGAAUGUCCUCAAAUAGAUGUUUCCAGAAUUUUUAUUAUGACACAUCAUAUAUAAUUCUUUAGACUUACCUUAGUUAAAAGAUACUUGGUUGUAAUAGGAUAUGAUGACCAAAAGUGCUUCAAUAACUCCUGGAUGGAUGACCAGUGCUGAAACAAACAGAUUAUUGAUCAGUUAUCUCAUGAAUAAGACAAUAGUAUGAACACAAUUAGCCCAACUACAGCUAUUGGUGUCAACUCACAAGUAAUAGUUCCUCUCUGGUGAUUUUUGGCAAACUAUCCAAAAUACUCUCGUUUGGAUUCCUCCCAAGAUGAUACUUGUUACUUGAAAUAUUCUGAGCCAAUCCAUUCAAAACCUACAUAUAAUAGCACCAAGCAAUUAUAUUCCUGUGUCAACGUAAGUGCAAAUCAACGUGUUUCGACAAGUGAGGAAAAUGACAGCACCUUAAAAGCAACUUCUGAAUUAAUUGUGGGCUCAGUCAAACCCUGAAAUUUAAUCUCGGAGAUGCACUCCUUCAAAGAACAAUAUGCUUCACGAGUACUCACACUACAUUUUAAUUGUUUUGCACCAGAAACAGUAUCACCAAGAGUGCUGAAAGCAUUUGCUUGCUGAGAAUCGAAGUAGUCACGAGGAUCCUGAGUCAAGAAGAAAGAAUAAUUUGAGAAGCUAUAAUUUAGAAGAUCAAAAGAUUUUCAAACAAUAAAAAUUUAACCUUAAUACUAAGUGGUGCAACUGCAGGGUCACGAGGUGCCUGAAGAUCCUCAAUCUCAGUCAUUCGAGAAAUCCUCUCUAACCGCUCUUUGUCCAAGUACACAUCAGAUGCAUCUUUAGCUAACUCAGCUAAAGGGGAAAAAAAUUGUACAAAGAACCCUUAACUACAAGUUCUUUAGUUUUAAUUCAAGAUAAAAGUUUAAAGAACCCAAAAAUAAAAAUAAAAAUAAAAAACAACCAACAAUACGAAGAGUAUUAACCAUGUUUCGUCCUUGCAAGUGCUUCAGCUACAGAUCUUGUAUCUCCUAGCUCAACAUCUACACCAAUUUGUCAACAAAAGUCAAAACACAAGAAAAAGCAUUCUAUAGUCACAUAUCACUCAUCCCAAACAAGAAAUCUACCACUGCAAGCAGAAAGACCCGCAAAAACCUUUUGUUAUAAAGUGAAAAAUAAGAGAUUCCUCAACAAAUGUUAUUAAAAGGAAACAGACUUUCAUUAGCAGCGAAUACUAGUUGGCAACAAAUGGAAAGAAAGAAAGAUCCAGGUACCAUUGAUUGAUAUCGAUUGCUUUUCAAUAAUUCCAAUCAUCUAUGACCGCAAUACAUGUUUAUGGGGAACUCAGCAGGACAUCCAUCUUGUCAAAAACUUUGCCUUGGGUCACAAUGUCCUAAUGACACAACAUAGUAAAUAAGUCCCAAUGGAAAAUACUACCAAGCAGGGGGCGCCCUUCCGUUAGUUUAGUCACUGGAUGAAAGAAAGCAGACAAAAACAACUGCAGAAUGGCAUCCACUGGUGGAAUAAAUAAACCAUCUUUUCAUAGAAAACAUUUACACACCAUCAAUCACUCUUACACAGUUGCAUGAUCAGGAAAAGAAAAUUGCAGAAGACAGAGGAAAACAUGCUAAUCAGUUUGUAUUCUUUAAACCAGAGAUGUGUAUGGUAUUUAAAAACAAUUGCCCAUUGUAAAGCACUUCUACAUACUUUCUCUCUUACUUUGAUGAAGGAUUUUUUUUUUUACCUAUAACUCUCCCUUGAAGAACGACUGCUGCAUGCUGGUUGAGGUGUUGUGAGAAAGAUCUUCGGUAUGGUUCAUAUUGCGAGUCUAAAACAUCCUUGUUGUCAUUGCGAGGUAGCCCAUGGUCCUGUAUCUUGCAAAAAAUACUACAUGAGUCUGCAUAAUAACAAUAUCACCCUUUAUACCUCAAUCUAAAACCAAUCCAAUAAGAGAAGCUCUUAGAGUUGUAACAAAAAGAAUAUUUUUCUGAGCAUACUUUGUUACAUCCACUUGGAUACUGGAUGGGAGAAAUAAGGAAAUAACAUGUUCUCAUUUGCAAUGAUACUGGCCACUUGGCCACUCCCAAAAUGGACAAACAUGGAAAAUAACAGAACUCUGCAUUCUUAGUCAAAUAAUGAAGUAUGGACAAGAAGCAGAACAAUCAGCAGCCUACACCUUGAGAGAGUUUAUAAAGCAGGUAUUAAAGUAUCCAAUAUAACAAAUAAAUGCCAAUGCACAUACCGGGAGAUGCAUGUAAUCAUCUCCUUCAUCAGCUUCCAUGUCCAAAGUAGGAUCCACCUGCCUAAUCUGAAAGGACAGAUAGAGGGAUAAACUAUUCAAAUUUAAACCAAUUCAAGCACAAAGUUUUGAGAGUACUUCUAAGAGAAAAAUUCAUAAGAGAGAACAGAACCAAAAGCAAAUAUCAUAGCAUAGAAAACAAAUCAUCAUAAUGCAGGUCACUCCUGAGAUAAAGUUGAGCAUAAAAUGACAUUCACGUAGAACACCUUCUUCCGAGCUUCAUUAACUAACAUGUCAUCUUGCUUCAAAAAUACGGCAAGUUCCUCAUCUUCUGCAGCCUCUGCUGCUGCAGCAAUGACAUUUUUUGUACUAUGGAGGUAUUCCGCUCGCGAGUAUUUAGUCCAAAACUCUUUUUCAGUCAUCUGGCAAAGAAGACAUUUGAUGAUGAAAAACAGCACAGCAACAUUGAAGGAAAGAUCAGUAAAGGCUUAAAGAAGUCAAGUCUGUGGUGAAGAGAUCAGCCCGGGUAGAAUAACAAGUUUAACUCUACCUUGUUUGGCACAAAAUUGAGAUAUGCUUGGCGAACAGCUGGUUUCUCUGCAAAAAUCUAAAGAUGACCUUAAGUUAGAUCCAAGGGAGGAGAAAAUCUUGAAGAUUGCAAAGAAAUUUUUAGAACAGAUUUUAGAUAUAAAAAGAACUACUGUCACCAGACUCUUUCCAUUUGUCCCAGCUCAUGUUCUUAAACUGUCCCUACCUAUGAAACUUCAUAUCACUAUUUCAAUAAAUACUUAUAAAUAGGUUAGAACUCAAAUAAAUUCAUGAACAUCUUUAUUUUUUCAGUCUCAAUGAUAAGGUUUUCAAUUAUUACAAGUUCGAUUGGAAGCUCCUGUUGUGAAUAAGUAGAGAUUAGGAGCACCUAGGUUCAAGUCCAAGUCAUUGAACAAAUUAUAGGCAUUCAACAAAAGUUGGUCAACACAUACAACUUGAGGGAACAGGAAAAGAAGUACAUCCCUAUGCUGGAAAAUUUGGAACAGGAAAUUGAAGCAGAAAUAUCCAUAAGCGUAGAGCAAUGCAAAAACAUAAAAGUACAGCAAUAAUAAUUUGGUUAAACAAAAUAUCCUACUGUUAUUCAUGAAUAUAGAAACAAAUAAAGUUUAAUUUUACAGAGCACUGCAUAUUGAAAUAAGUUACUCACUUCCAAAGCAGAAUAGAGUGUCUGGAUUGAUUAAAUGAAAGAAAAUCACAAUACCUGAAGGAUAAUCUCUGGUGUUAAGUUAAAUGUAACUCUGUUGGACUGCAAAAGAAAGAACAGGAAUUACCAGGAGCAGUACAUCCAAUACCAAAAUAAUCCAAUGAGAAGUUGAAAGGAUCAGCUUUAUAUUGACAAACAAAUGCAAAAACCAAAAACCUUCCUAGCAAAAGCAGUUAAAAAUAUAUAAUUUGAAAAGCAACGUGUAAAAGAGUUAAUUGUUAUAGAGAAUCAUUCCAUUAGGAUACAAGUAAGUUUGUUGAAUAAACUUAUCAAGCAACAAGCGCAAACAAAAGAAAAGGAUACAUGCAAGUGCAAUGUGCAAAGAAAAGCAAAUCAACAAUAUACCUGACCAUCAGCUAAAGGUUUGGUACUCCACAUAUCAUUUUUUAAUGCCACUCUUUGCUUUGGCCUCCUGCUGUAAUUCUGCUCCAACAACUUCUGCAUGUUGUCGGUAAAUUAAAAGGUUCUGUCACAAAAUUCGGAAUUCAAAUAUAAUUCCAAGUCAAGAAACUGCACCAAUAAGUAGUCAUAAAAAUCUGACAAAGGUUCUAAAAUAUGCAGAUCCUAUCUGGAGUCUGGACAAGCCUUCACAUUGAAUUUUUUUUGUCUUGUACAAUUUUGACUAGCAAAUGCAUUUCAUAGUUAUGCUCCUUUACACUUUUCUCUUUCCAAUUCUUGAAUACCUUCUCAUGGACAUAAAAUGCAAUGGUGUCGCAGAGCGAUGCUCCCAUAUAUGAAAUCAAAAACUUAUCCUCUUAUAAGUGACUAUUGUGAAUGUUGUCCAGAGAAAGAUAAAAAUACAGUAUAUACAUGUCCAAAAGCAACAACCAAUCAAAUCUGUUUACUUUCUUUUCAGUUACUAACCUUCCUCGUUGCCCAGAAUUCAGCUUCAGAUAGGAUACCUCCAAUCACAAAUUGCUUGUGAAGUUUCUGUAAAUCACUGCCAGUGAAUUUUCAGUUAUGUUAACCAAAAAAGUAUUUGUGAUACAGAGCCAUUUCUAAUCAAAUGAAAGACAAUUCUAGCAAUCUUAAUAUCAGUUAAAACCAAUACAGACUCAGUCAACCAGAUAGAUAAACCAAUUUGAAACUCAGUCAACCAGAUAAAAUUCAAGAUUAUCUAUGUUAAGGUUAGGAUGACAAACGCAAUAUUUAUCUGCUUCUGCAAGAGAGUUUUUUCAAAUAUAGCAGUUCUAAAGUGGUCACAUGUCACCAACCAACUCAAGAUUCAGUAUCCUGUAAUAGUGAAUUUUGGGAAAUAUAAACUAUUUCUGUUACUUGGUGACCACCUGGGUACAACUGUUGCCAGCUUUUGUAGAGACUUUACCGUGGUGUAAUCCCUCAAUCACACAGCUAACUAUCCAGGACAGGAGAACGUACUUUUGACAUCAGAAUGCCAAGGACAGCAGGAGCUUCUAAAGGAGAAAGACACUCUUUUUUGGGGGCUGAGGAGGGAAUACCCGAUCCUAGAGGUGGCAGUUUGCAUUUGUAUCCACACAUCAAUCCACAUAAACCCAUCUUAAACGGAUUUGGAUGGCUGAGAGAAACUAUGACUUUAAACAGAUGGCAAUUUAAACUUAGUUAAGUUACAACUUUAAAUGGAUUAUACAUGUCAUCCAUAUAAAUUCAUCAAAAAAUGAAAAAAAAAAAAAAUAAGUCCUCUCCCCACACACACACACCCACACUCACACACUCAAACACGCAUGAAAACAAUUACAGGAUCCCACCUCACCUGCAAACACAGUGGCACACACUUUCUUUCAUGCAAAAAGAUGCAGUCACACACAAAGAUAGCAAUAUGCCCUCUCAAAGAGAGUUAUUCGUAAUUAGUGGAACUCAGAAAGAAAUCGAAGCAAAAUGAGACAGUCAGAGCUUGGCAACAUUGCCAAAUUCAAUUCAAACUUCCUUUUGGAAAUUAAUGAAUUAGACAUGCAGUAGUAGCCGACCAUUCUAUGGAAAAUUUGACCACUGUAAAUCCUAGGAACUUCUACGGAAAAUUUGACCACUGUAAAUUCUAGGAACUAGGUUUUAGGAGUAAAUGGUUAAUUAAGUGGAUAAAGAUUUGGCAUUAUCCACUUAAUCCCAUCCAUUUAGAUCCAUUAAUGAAAUCGUUGUAAUUGGAGUGGAUUAAAUAUAUCCACUAUUUAUCUAAGUGAAGCCAUUUAUCAAAUAUUUAUCCACUUUGCCACUUCUGUAGCAAGCCCACUUUUGGCCACUAAGAUAUUUUGAUUUCAUAUCCCACAUUCAGCAUUCAAAGUUCUAAAGCGGUACACUUUGGCCAAUCGAGACAUCAAACAAGCAACACACCAUAUCAGAUGAUCUGCUUUAAAUUAACUGUAUGAAAUUAGACAGAGCAGCCAAAAGUGUACUACUUUAGAAGUUGAGUGGGUGGUUUGAAAAAGUUAAUAGUUUAACAGCCAAAAGUGAACAGCUUAGCGCCCGUUUAUGUAUUCUUCCCACCCCUUUCCUGUCAGAGAAAAAAUUCCCAGGUGUAAUGUAUAUGCUGAAUUUCUAUAUAAUCAAUCUAAAAUGCAGCAAUGCACCUAAGAUAUUAAUGAAACACAAAUGUUCCUCAAUAAGAUUAAGGAUGCAGCAGCAUUACACAGAUAUAGGAAGGAAAGGGGUAUAGCACUUCUACCUAUCCUCCUGCAGUAGCUUAAUACGACGCUCCAUUUCAGCCGCACUAAGUUGCUCAUCUUGAAUCGGAACAGCAGAUUUUUCAGGAACUGUUCUCCCAGCUUCUCCGGAUAGUGCAAUAGCUGAGGCUGUUCUUCAUUCAGAUAUGCAUUAUUUCCAUAGAAACAAUACAUUAAUUAGAUUUAAAAAAAAAUUGAAAAGUUCCAAGUACAAAUGCAUAGACAUCAUAUGAAGAAUGGUUAAUGCAAUCUCAUUUACAUAUUAAGCACUAGAUGGUCAGCAUCACAAAUGGUCAGCACAGUAAAGCCAUAAUUAUUUUCAUGAUAAGUUAAGAGUGCAGGAUAACUGAUUAGUAACUGUAAUUUCACUACCUGGUUGUGUACCAAGUUCUUUCAACUGUAAGUCUUUUCUAUACCAAACAACGUAGACCAUAGCACUUUAUAUGAGCAAGUGAAGAUAUAUACGUGCCAUAUGAAGAAUUCGUUUUACAAGAUGGUGCAUAUAACAUUGAAUCUCCUUUUAAAAGUCACCAAAAGAAGAUUAAGACAGAAGCAGAUAGCAACUAUUCCCAAAGUUCAUAUAAUGGUCUAGAGGCCACAUGCCAAUCCUUGUGUAGGAUCAAGGUAUCAAUUGGAAACAUGAUGUCAGUUACUAGGCUCUGAUUGCUAGUUACAAAUAGAGGCAAAGAACCUAGGUCACCAGAUAAGUCCUGAUUUUCACUUCCAAGCUGUCAAUUAGUACAGGUAUUUCAAAGUUUCAACUAAGUUUGGCAUGAAUCUAAAGGCUCACAACAGCUUAAUAAUCAAAAUUUGUCAAGUACCAGACUACUUCGGUAACUUGAUGCAGAUAUGGAUAGUGAUUAUGGUUUGAAAAAAAAAAAAAAUUCUCAAACUUUAGUUCUGAGCACAAGUACGAAUUAGAUGGUAAACAAAGGAAGGGGAAUUUCAUUUUUACUUAUUAACCAAUGGCCCGAUUUUUCUUAAAAAAUAAACAAAAAAGGGAAAAAAAAAAGUUUGUACUCAUAUAUGCAUGUGUACCUUAUAAGCAUCUACAGUGCGUAUUUGAUACACGAAGAUAUAUAUACACACUUAAACACAGAUCCAGAGGGCAAUCAUAUGUACAACUGAAGUCAAGCACAUAAUAAUAGGGUAAUUUAAGCUCUUGUAUCCCACCUACAAAAUCCUUGCAAACAUUGCGGUCUGGGAAGUUCUCAAACUCAAAAAUGUAAUUGCCACCCUGUCAUAAUGUGGAGUUAAGCUCAUACAGUCACGUCUAGCUCGAAAGGAAUAAAUGCAACAGUUUACAGGAGUUACAGCUGUGCAGUAAAAGUGACCUAGUCAAAGCAUAUCGAACCUGAUCCUGAGUAAGGUUAAGGAGCGCUUGCUUAGUUCCAUCCUUGGUGAAUUUGUGCCCUGAAAAUUUCAACAUGUCCAUCAAUCUAUACUACACUGCUAGACAGAUCACAUCCGGGAAAAAAAAAUUAUGGGCAUGUAGAAAUGGGACUCAUACAGAUUUCAUGACCAGCUUAUUAAUAGUUUCUUUCUACUUAUUGGUCCAAAUACUGAAGUGACAAUCCAGGGACUGAUCCAUCUGAUAGUAGUCCAAUUCCACAAAAUUAAGGACAUUAAUCAAGACAACUCAGCGCCUUAAAAAAGAAAGGAUCAGCAGAACAGCAGCACCUUUAAUUGUUCUGAACUCUACAUUAUGUUUCACAGGUGAACUCGGAUCAUUUGGCAUGAAAGUAAACCUAUCUUUAGUCUGCAAAACAGCCAAAAAAAGAAAUGGAAAAUAACUACUAGAAUGUCAGAAGGCAUAUAAUUAGACAAAACAACCAAAUAGAUAUGCAAUUAUCCAAAUGAGUUCUAACUGAUUGAAAAUAAAUGAUAAAUUACCAAUUUCAAAACGCCAGGUGUUCCAGGGUCCUUCACAGAUGACUUGUGCCUGGCUCUCUUAACCACCACCUGCUGCUGCUUAUCUGCCAUACAGUCUGCACAAUAAUGUGCACGGAUACAGACCGAAAAAAUGAAUCCAAUUCCGGAAAGGAAAAAUAGUCCUUAUGCUCCUUUACUUAAGCAAGGCCCUAUACCAAAACGAAGCAGAAGUUUCGAUUAGAUUGGGAAAUUGGCAAUUUUCUCCAAGAAAAAAUUAUUAUAAUAGGCAGACUUCUUCAACUUUCUGUUCAGCAAUUAAAAAAAAAAAAAGAAAAUCCUCCGAGUCAACCCGUUUCAACUCUGGACCAAAUCAAAAAACCUUUCUACUAAAAUUAUGAAAAGAAAAUGAAGAUCCUCCAAAAACAUCCCAAAACAGUGACAAAUAAAAUAAAAUGGACAAACUUAAUGAAAGGAAAAUAAACCAAGGACAAUAAGAAAUUAAUCUCCAUACCAAUCUUUAGGCAAACUAGUCUCAUUAAAAACCCUCAAAAGAAAGCAACAGCAAGUGGGUGGAAGAAAGGAGAAGGUAGUUGACAAGGGAAGAACGGAGAAGGUGAUUGAAAGCAAGGAAGGAGAAGGUGAAUGGCGACUGAUGCUUCGAUGUGGCGGAAGACGCCGGUGAGUGCGCGGCGAGUAGCAGAGGAGUCCGCGUUGUUGGGUGAAAUGGGCAAUGUACUUCUGAGCUAAAGUAUGAUGAACUUUGUAUACUACAAGCAAGCCGGUAGCCAGUUUGCGUUGUCGGUUUUCUUUGAAAGGGGAAAAAAAAAAACUUUCAUUAGGGUUAAAUGCACUAAUUCCCUAAUUUCAUUCUCAAUUGCAGUUACUCCCCCACGAGUUCGUUUGGUUCAUGGGUUGGAUGAAAUAUGAUGGCUCAUUCUUGGAUUAUUAAUGUUGGAUUGAGUCAUCCUUGAAUUAACAAUCCAAAUUAUCUUAUGUUUGGUUGGUUCUAAGUUGGAUAGGAUAUAUUGAAAAAUAAUUCUAUUUGUGUUUAGUUGGAGAUUGAAUGAGAUAGAAUUACUAUUUUAACGAUCAAAAUACCCCUUAAUUUGUAGGAUCAUUUUAAUAAAGUAAUUUAAUAAUUUAUAACUUUUAUUAAAAUAUAAAGUAAUUUGAAGCUUUAGAAUUAUAAAGUGAAUCAAAAGUUUUGACAUAUAAAAAUUUGCAUUCACCCAAACUUAGGCCAUUUGGACUCUUCAAAAAUAGGUUUUAAUCUAGUUUUUGAAUCUAAAUUUGAAAUUCAAUUAAAUAAUGGGCCGAGUUUUGACUAAAUUCACGUUAAAUUGAAUAAAAUUCAACCCAUUUAAGAGUUUUAAAUGAGCCAAUAUAGAAGAUUUUUCUUUAGACAAUCUUGAACUUAUUGAAUCGCUCAUUCAUAAAACCCAAUUGAUAAGGUCAUGUAUUUAUAUAGAUUUUGGUUGAGAAAAUAAGGUUAGUAAGGACAAUAUAGUCCUUUUAUUAUGAUGUACGUAGGGGCAAAUUAGUAAAAAUGUAAAUUAAUUAAUAGGGGUAAAUUUGUCAUAAAAUUUAGAAUAAUGAAUAAGGGGAAAAUAGUCAAAAAAAUUAAUGUAAUUAGUAAGGGCAAAUUAGCCCAUUUAUAAUCAUUUACUAGUGAGAGUACGUUUGAAACCAAAAAUUCCAGAUUUCUGGAAAAAAAUUUCACCCUGUUCUGUCCGGUUCCAGUUCGUGUGGUUAGAGGUCGAAUUAGGCUUGGCAUCAUGUUUAACGUAUUGAAUUGACUAUCUGACUAUGUGUUCGGAAUCUCACUGAGCUUUUAGCUCACCCCUUUAGUUUUGUUUUCCUUAACAGGGGACGGCGAGCAGGAUGAGAGCAUAGACUAGCCUAGUCUAGUUCUUUUGUUAUUCUUUGUAAUGGUUCUCGCCCUAGUGCUUGGCACGGGCUGGACGUAUGAAGGAUUGAGAACCUUUGUAUAUUCGAUCUUUAUAUUCCCUUUUGGGAUGGCAAUGUAUAUAAGUUCCGCUUUAAGUUUGGAUCGCUGCCCUAUUUAUUCUUGUGAUUUAUUCCGAUUUUAAUUGAGGACUGUAGUGAAUGACUGAGUCCCGGCGAGAGUUGGGCAGGCGACCCACCGAACCCCGGGGUACGCCCUAGGGGGAGGUGGGGCCGUCACACAUUAACCAUAGAUAGCAAGUAAUUCCAGAAACAUGACAAUAUAAAGCAAUAAUAAUAUUCAUUAAAAGGAUACGUGCUCACAUGGAGCCAUUCAUUCAUUCAUUCAUUCUCCUUUCAUUUCCUUAUUCCUCCAUUCGUUUGAAAAUGCAUUUUGAUAAGUAAAACCCUUCAUUUACAUGGACAUUCGUUUAUUCAUUUCAUUUCACCCCCUCCUGGACAUUGGUCAGGCUCCACCAGACUACAAGGUAAUACUCGAAUUUACCAAACGUUCACCCAGGGUCACCAAAUCGCCCGACCGAGUCCGCUUCUGGCUCAAGUCGACCGGCAACGAAGGGCAAGGGCCCAAUUCAGCCAAACGGCUUACAUUCAUGCGCAACUAGCAUUUAAUUAUUUAAUCAUUGAAAAUUUCACAUUCAUUUAGGUCGAGUGCGAUAAAGUACACACUCACAUAAAAAACUCAUUUUAAGCAAUCAUUGAAAACAUUUAACAUGUUAUCAUUCGUGCAUAACAAGUCAUAUAAUCAAGAACAAGCCACAUAGUCAAUGAAAAUAUAACAAACAAGAAACACUCACCUAUUUACGCAAAAUAACGUCCAAAAUAUCCUUCCGGAUAACACCCUCAAUCACCAAGAAACCCUAAUAUAAUCAAAAGAACAUAUUAUGCUUCAACCAUCAAAGAUGUAAGUGAUUCAAAGAAAAUUCGAAUACGUACUAGUACAAAGUAUAAAUAUGAUUUUGGUAGUGAAAAGAGAACAUAAGUAAAAUAUUUGUAAAACUUAUGCUUACUUGUAAAACUUUAAAAUCGUUAUUUGAGUCGAAGUGGCAAAGAAAACGUAUUUCUAGUAGUCGUAAAUUUCAUUUUUCCAAGGGUACAAGUUUCGGCCGAAUUCUAACUUAUAUACCUCGAUAAAAGAAGAUGUAAAUCCCCUAGAUGGUUCACGUGGUAUUCGCUCUCAAGCCUUACUCAAGUCGAAAGUAUAACGAUCUAGUUCUCGAGCGUAAAUUUGGGCAGCACGCCCUUUGUAUUUACCCAUUUUUCCGGCAUUUAUGGCUUCAUUCUUCAGCCCCAAAGUCAUACACAAAAUCAUCUCAUUUCAAUAGCCGUUCAAUAGGCUCAAAGUCAUACAAGUACAAAAUCAAACUAGGAAAAUGUCCGGAAAUGAAGUUUAAGUUAUAAAACAAAAGACAGAUUUGCCGUCGCUUAGCAUAACGGGCACAAUCAAAGAUACGCUUAUUGGAUUGGGGUGAAAUUUAUACCAUGUCGAAGAUAAGACAAAGGCCUACAACUUUGAUGAAGAUGACUCAGUCCAGUUUGUAGUGUAUCUAAGUCAAAAUUUCAAUUUACCGAACCAGAAUCUCACAUUCGGGUUAGUUAACCGCACUAUACGUAACCGACAAUAACUCAGGCUACCGAAGUCCGAUUAAGGCAUUUUCAGGGCCAUUGGAAAGCUAAGACAUAGCACUACAACUUUCAUGUUUUGGAUAAAUGCUAGUUCAGUGCGUAUCAAGGUGAAAAUACACGAUCAGAUUGGUGAAAUAUUCAAAACUAAUCACUGGAUUCACCUAGGAUAGUCAGGGUAUUUUGGUAUUUUAACAGGCUAAAUUGCUCCGAUUGAGCUGAAAUUUUACAGGUAACUAUAAAAUAUCAUUCUCUACAACUUUCAUGUUUUGUACUAAGCCUAAUUCGGCCUCUAACCUAGUCAAAAAAAACCUGUCAAAACAGGGGAGGUGAAAAACCCUAAGACUGAAAUUUCCAUAAUACUACUUCCAACUAUGAAAUAUGCUCAUAAACUACCAAAACUACAACUUUAAACCACUAAUUAGCAAUUAAUUGAAGUAAAGAGGAGGUUCUUGGAAAAAUACCUUGGAAACUCAAAAAAAUGGUAGCUUAGUAUCUUUCCUCCCACAAUCACUCCACCAACUCCUUCAAUCUUCCUUAAUAAGCACUUGUAUGGUGUAGUUUCAAUUUUGGUUGACUACAACUCAAGAUUUGAGCAAGUUUGGAAGCAAGAAAUUGAAGAGCUCUCUCUUGUUUCUCCCCUCAAGAAAGUCGGCCAAGAAGCAAGAAAAAUGAAGAAAUUUUUGGUCAAAAUUUGGUUUUUAGUAAAGGUGAAAAUUAGGUCAAAGUCCAACCUCCAAUAGGUUUGCAACACUUGGCCCUUCUAGUGUUUUCUCUAAUCCUUUGGCUUCCAAUUGUUACAUCAUAUACAAACCUCUAAUUAUCCUCUAGCACCUUGUAUAAUAAUAACACUUAGCACAAAAAUCACUUAGUCACCAAAAUUAUAUCGCACUAGCGGGUCCCACAUCUAUAACGCACUUCAAAUUAACGUACACUAACUCAUACUAGGAAAAAUGAUUUUAAAACUGUACUUGCUUGUAAAAAUGCAUAGAAAUUUAAUAUUUCCAAGGAAAGUAUAAAAUGUAGGCAAAGAAAUAAAAUAAUGCUAAGCAAAUGUGAAAAUUUUUAGGUUCUCACAAUGCACAUUUAAUUGAGAAUUUAAUUAUUUUAUUAAAAUACUACAACAAUCCCCACUUAUUUUAAUAAAAUAGUAUAAAAUUUAAAUGGCAAGGAAGGACUAUCAUAUAUAAUAUAGAUAGCAGUGCCUUAAACCUAUAUUUAGUGUUGAGGUGAUUUCUAAUACCAGAGCCAAUAGUGAACUACAAUCUUGAACUAUGGCUGCUUUUGGGAUAUUGGAUAUCACCUUACACACACAAUAGUUCAGGUGUUCUCAUGAGCCAAUAAAGCUGGCACUUUACGGCCUUGUGCUCAAUCCCAGUUUGUCCAUGUGUGUAUAAGAGAACAAGUCCCAAUUCUCUUUAGGACGGCCCCACCCUGAACACUCAUAUAGGUGAAAUCCAUCAAGGGUGCUCCCGUAACUCAAACACCCCACUCAUAAGAGCUAUAGAUUUCAUUAAGAGCAAUAUAGUUCAACCUUUCUUUCGUUACAGGAUGUAUGCACAUAUAGCAUAAGGAUGGACCAUGCUUAUCAAAAUUUGUGCAUACCCAUUUCAAAUCACCAUGUAAUUCAUUUUUCCCUUUGAAGCGAACUCUUGGGAUCUCCAAUCAUUAUGUUGGGUAUCCUUACAUGUGAUUUAUGAUUCAUGGACUUUAGUCACAUCCUUCUCAUGGUUGAUCAUAUCUUUGCCUCAACUUGAGUUGUUUACUAUUAUCACAAAAAUAUAAACAAAGAUAUGAUCUCAUUGACACUCGAGUCAAAUUAUUUCUUCAAUAACACAAUAAUACUGUGAUAAUACCAAUAUUUUGUGAGAAUAUUUCUUACAUAAUUGCCAUACAAGUAAUUAUAUACACUUCAAGUGAAGGCCCAAUAUUUUCAUUUUUUUCAUCUUAGUAACCAUUAGUCUCACUAGAAAUCAUCAACGUAGAUGACCAUUAGUUUACUACUAGGAGCUACUUUAUUUCUCAAUAAUUGUCAAUUUCAUCUAGUAGGCCAGUAGUCUAUAACCUACUAGGAACCAUUUUCACCAUCUCUAUGAAAUUUUCAUAGAAUUUCUUUUCACAAGAAUAUGAAAUACACAUUUCAAGUUUCUUCACAUUAUAUAACGUUAUAUUAAAGGAUUAAGAAAUCCAAAAACAUGAUACUCAAUGUCAUUUAAUAUUGUACUUAAUUGCAACUUUAAAAUCCAUACCCACAAGUUGCAAUUAUAACAUGAUAUCACAUGAGAUUUGUAUAUAUAUUUUUUCAAAAUAUAUAUCCAUGUCAUUUAAUUGAGUAUCCUCAAGUAAUUAAUCUAAUUCUUUGCAUUCAUUUUCAGCAAACAAAUAACCCCACUAUUUUAAUGCUUUAAUGAUAUGCAACUAAACAUAUAUCGCAUUUAAAAAUCAAGUCCUAUGCAUAUUAGCAUAGAAAAUUACUAUGACCCCCACCAUUUGCCACAACUUUAUAACAUGCAAUAGAGUAUAUAUCUAUUGCAAUUAAUGUAAAUGACCCAAUUAAUCAUACCCAUUGGAAGUUCACUUUUACUUGUUAAGAAGGCACCUUUAAAAUUUCUUCUAGAAUGCAUGAUGGCAACUUGUCCAGUGCAGCAACAAGUUGUAAUUAUUCAGUAAUUUGAACUCCUUCAAAUCUACUUCUCCGGUGCCAUAUUUUCCUGUUAAGCCUUCCAAAAGUUUUUGAUAUUAGGAUAAGAAGUUUCAUAAAAGUUAUGAACUUCAUUAGAAAGGUUAUAUAACAAAUAAUUCAAGCAAUGGAAUUCAACAACUUCCUUUUUUGCUGAAUUUUUCUCACAAUAUUGUUUUAUACUUCAUAUAUCUUAUUGGUUGAGAUCUUCUCAUUUUUUCUGUCCAUCGGUAGACUACUCAAGUCACUUGAGUUGAUAGUAAGGACUUACAAGUUGAACUCCAUCUUGAUCUGAAUCACCUUAAAAUUGGUGUUCACCUGGAACAAAAAAUAAAAACAAAUAUGUAAAAAUAAAAAAAGAUUAGACAAUAACAAUAUAUUAAUACUCAAGUGUGGAGGGUUGAGGCACGGGUAUCUCACUCUCUUUAAGGUGAUUCAAGCCUCUGCUGAAGAAUCAACUCCGAUGCAGCAGGUUCUCUAGCUUGUCACCCCCAAGAUACAACAGCCCAGCCACACUUGCUAACACUCUCUCUAGACUCCACAACUAAGAGAGUAUAGCUCUACAAACACCUUUUGUUUCUUGCCUAAUUAUGAGAUAGAAAAUAGUGAAUUUAGACUCAAAAAACAUAAGUUGUUGUAGUAGUAUUUUUUUCAUCCCAACUAUGCAUAUUUAUAGGUGAAGAAAAAUUAGACAAAUAUAACCUACACUACUAAUAAGAUACCAAGUAAAUGCUGAAAUUAUUGGCCAUUCAAAACACAUUGAAAUUUGUAUUGUAGAUUACAAAAACUUAUUGUAAUUGAAAAAUCAUAAUUUCACAUAAUAAUUCUUUGGUCAAUACCCAUUCAAUCCAAAUUUGAAUUGUAAGUUACAAAACCUCAAUGUAAUUGAAAAGCCAUAAUUUCAUACAAUAUAUCUUUAGUAAAAACCAUUCAAACACCUAUAAAUUUCAGAAAAUUUUACCAAUUUAUUUCCCUUGUAACAUGCACAUUUAACUGAGAAUUUAAUUAUUUUAUUAAAAUACUACAAGGAAUGUUAUAGGAGUAGAUAUAGAAUCCUACCUUCUAACAGUCAAUAAGUGGACACUAAUGGGAUCAUACAAUGACUCUAAGAGAUUAAUAGUAGAAGAAGUACACUACAGGAGAACUCAUGGUUUGUAUUUUAGAUGUGGACAAAAUUUUGGAUUGAGCAUCAAUGCACAGGCAAACAGGUCAAUGCUCUUUUAUGUGAAGAAAAGGAUGAUAACAUCUUUGAGGAUGCUAUUGCAGAAUAGGAUGAACUAAUAGGAAGGGCAGGAGAGUUGACUAACAUGUCACUGAAUGCCCUAUCUGAUGCUAGCAGAAGGAAGUCUAUUUCAGUCAUAGGAGUUUUGAAUGGUCAAGUCAUAAGAAUUUUGAUAGACAUUGGUAGUUCAGAUAGUUUCAUUAACCACAAGCCCGUAUAAUAUCUUGAUCUACUGUAUCGAUAAACCACUUCUUUCACAAUAUCCAUGGCUAAUAGAAUUACAAUAAAUAGUCGUGCAUUCAGCCCAUAUAUUACUUGGAAAAUCCAUUAGUAUAAAUUCCAAUUUAGUCUUAGAAUUAUGGAUUUGGAACAUUAGGAUCUUAUAAUAAGGGUUGAUUGGAUGAAUUUAUAUAAUCUUAUCACUUUUGACUUUUAUUAGUUAAGCAUGGCUCUAAGUUGCAAAAAUGAAUUGAUUCAUCUUCGAGGAUCAAUUAAUGAGCCAAUACUACAUUUGGUAAGAUGCAAUGAUCUAAGGGAUUUAAUUCAAGAUCAAGAAAGGGUUUGUACAUCCAUUCAAAUGCAAAUCUCCUAUAGCAUCUAGUUAAACCAAGAAAGCCGCUCAAAGCUUUGAUAUUAACUAGAAUAGACCAAGCCAUAGCACAUUGUAUGUUGACAACAUCCAUACUCAGACCAUCAGCUGAUAUGGAAUCUCCCAAAUAUUCGACUCUAGUUUGAGCAUAAGAGUGCUUAGACAUUUUGGCAUAUAGCUAGUUUUCCUUCAAAGUAGACAACAACAACUCUAAAUGUUGUAAGUGAGACUCCAUGGUAGGACUAACAAAUUUCCUCAAAAUGGCUAAAAAGUCUUGUUCAUAAGUGACUCAAGCAUUGAUAAAGCCAAAUGGCUUUACCAAAAAUUCAAAGUGCCUAUUUGAAAGGCAAUUUUAUAAGUAUCAAUUGACUUCACUCUGAUCUAGUGGUAACUUGAUCUCAAAUCUAGCUUAGAAAAAUAUUUUGUCCCAAACAGUUCAUAAUUAAUUCAUCGAUGUUGGGUAUAGGAUAUUUAUCUUAUUGGUUGGAACAUUUAACUUUCUUUAACUAGAACAAAGUCUUCAUGAAUCAUCUUUUUUUCUUAACCAAAAGUACAAGUGUAGUUCCUUCGUUUCUUUUCUCUAUCAAUUGAUUAAUUUAAUUUUUUGUAAUUAAUUCUUAAGUUUGAUACAGAUCCUAGGAGGCGUUCGCGCUCUAUUUCUAGAUCCAACAAUGAUUCGUUGGGGUCCAAUGAAUAGAGUCAAAAUCAAGGAAUUCAUGUUGCAAAUCCAAUUUUCAAAUUCCUUGAGAAAGCCGAGCUCAAGUUUGUUAGUUUGUGACUUUGAGUCUUUAAUUGUUCAAGUCGUUAGUUUGGUUAGUUAGCUAACUCUAUGAAUUGUUCAUGAUCGUGUGAUUAGCUAAUGUUGAGCAUAGGUUCGACUUGAUCAUUAGUUAGUUUGUUAAUCUUGUGGUUUUUGAUUAGUUGGUAGAUUACUUAGCUAGUCUUUAGCUUAGAAAUCCGGCCCGUUUUAAGAGAUAAGGGCCAUGAGUUUCCAAAUUGUGUGCAAAGUCUUGUUAGUUUCCUUGUUCUAAUUAGGUUAGCAGUUGAGUCUUGUAAGCCUAUAAAUAGGCAUCAAUUUUCGUUAAUAAAGGAUAGACGAAUUUUCAGAAAUACCUAUGUGUGAUUGAGAGAGUUUUGUCUUGGAUUCUUUGAAGUGACCUUGAACACCUUAGAGUUUGUCUCGAGGGUUCAACCUGGUUUAUUAAUUAAAGAUCGCGUUUGAUUGUAGCCCCAUUCUACCAAUCUUAAUUUAUCUUGAGUGGUCCCUGAUCGAAUUAGGUUCCAUCCCUUAUACCAAGGUUCGUUAUCUACGUGAACAACGAGUUGAGGUUCAUUUGUGUUUAUAACCUGAUUAUGAUAGAUCCUUUCGCUGUCUGAUCGGAUCGUUUCCUCAAGAGUGGGAGUUAGGAGAUUUGAGUUCAUAUCAAAGUUGUUCUUUUUUGGAUGAGGAUUAUGUUGAAAUCAUGUCUAUGUUUUCUUUUCAUGUUUAUGCAAUAUCUAGAGAUAAAUCUUUAAAAGGAUUUGGUGAUAGUAGUCCUUAUACUUUUAUGUUUUGGUUUCAAUUUUUUUUUUUAACAGAUCAACAAUUCUUGUGGGUUUGGUUCCUUUUUUGUUUUUUGUUUUUUGUUUUUUUGGUAUUCUUUCCUUCUUCUUCCCAAUUAGUAUCUCUAUAUACCCAACUUUUAGAAGAUUGUAGAUUAGUCGGUUCUCCCCAUGGUAGUAAUUUCUCUACUUCUCUAUUUUCUCAACAUAAUACAUAAUUAAUUGUGUUUUUAUUGCAUUUUUUUCCUGAAGGAAAAUUAGUACAGGAUUAGAAUUUCUUUUAAAAAGCAGCAUUUUUGUUUGAAUUGGAUAUCAAUCAUAAUGCUUUAUUGUUUAAAUGCGUGUCUUAUGUCUUUGAUUUGGUUGGGAUUAAGAUAUUUUUCAUUAAAAGGGAAAAAAAGAGUGAGAUGAAGCUGGUUUAUUUGGAAUGGUCUUUUUUGUCAUUUAGAAAAUUCUUUCCUUAACAAAAGUUUUCCAAAACUAAAGACAUCACCUCUUAAAUGUAGAUUAUUUGUAUCACCUCUUUUUUCUAUCACCAUAUUUUAGAUUAUUUGUGAGCUCAAUUAAUAGCUAAAUGUAGUUUUUCUUAAUAAAUUACCUUCUUGUACUUAAAAUAAAUAUUUGCAUUUUUAGUAGCAAACAAAUAUUUUAAGGUACUUUAUUCUACGACGUUUUGAACAAUUGUGUGAAUUUUUUUGUAUUUUAUAGAAAAAUUGAAAACUUAAUAAAAUUUAUAAUAUAUUAUAUUUGUUUGGCUUCAUGUAAUUUAUAUUUUACGCUGCCAAUUAAUUAAUUAUAUUCCUAGCAAAUGUAGAUUUUUAACACAAAAAUUUAUAUGCUAGAAUGAAUUAAAUAUUAGGGCUAAUUUUAGACACCUCCACUGAGGUUUCUGACAGUCUCACUCCCCUCCCCUGAGGUUUCCGAAAUAUCAAAAACUUCCCCUAAAACUAGAUAGGCAGUCCCAAAUCCAACCCGAUUCAAAAAUAAAAACAAUAAAAAAUUGAAAGCUGGAGAGAGAAAGAACUUGAUACCACAAAUGCCCUCAUUUUCUUGCAUUAGUGAAGUUAUAGGUAAAUGACAACUUUCAAUAGCAAAUUAGCAUAUUUGUAGCCUCUCACACGUUUACAAAGCAUACAUAAAUGAGCUAAGCACACUAAUUUGGCAUCUUACUAUAUGAAACAACCCAAGUCAUACAAGAAACAUAGAAUCAACUAAGCAUAAUUUUGUAGAGGCUUAGCAAAUCAAGUCAUACGAGAAAUAGAAAAUUAGCUAAAUAUAAUCUGCCAUACACAAACAACAACUAUAUCAAUAUAGAUUGUCAAGGAAUAUUGAAAAUUUUCAAAAUUCUUAAAGACUAAACUGGAAGAGGUCUAAUGAGUUCUUCAACUCUUCAACAAAUGUGAGAAUCUAAAGCUUUUCCAUACCAUGAAUCAAGCUUUUUUUGCCAUACAUCAACAAUGGUUUAAAGAGACUAAUUGAAGUGACUUGUUGUACUUGGAGCUUUCUAAGCCAUAUAUCAAUCACCAAGUGCCGCCUGAAUUUGGCGUCAUUUUCUUCAUGGCAUUUUAGAUAUUAAUUAAAGGAAUCUAAAUUAUGACCGUAUUUAUAACUAACUUAGCUAAAUUGGUCCAUAUAAUUGGGAAAUAUUUGGCAACUUGUGUGGGUAUUUAAGUCUUUUACCCAUGAUGAUAUAAGAAAUAAGACCCAAUAUUCUGUCAGGGGAGGUAUCUCAUAUUUUGGAAAUCUCAAGGGAGGGGAGAGAGACUGUCAGAAGGUUUCUAAAAUUAUCCCUAAAAAUUACAAUUGAAAAUUUUUAAUAUCAAUCAACAAUUAUUUUGAAAGCAAAAAAUGUCAAAAUUUCAUGUAAAUAAACAAAUAACAUAGUGUAACAAAUCCUAUAAACUAACCUUGGGCAAUUAAGUCAAAUUUGUAUUAAUUGUAUUCUAUUCUGACAUUUAAAUAUGGAUUAUACCAAAUACUGACAUCCAAGUAUGGAUUAUACCAAACACUAGAAAAUGAAUAUUGCAUCCUAACUUGCUAGACACUAGAAUGAUAAAUUUUUCUUCCUAAUAUUUUGGGUGAAAAAUUUUGUCGAAUAGAAAGAUUUUUCCAUUCUAGUCAUUUUCGUGUAUCAAACGAGGGAUCAAAGCUUUUAAAAACAUCCCAAUAUAUGUUUUCUAAUCAUUAUUCUAGUCAUUUUCGUGUAUCAAAGGAGGGAUCAAAGCUUUUAAAAACAUCCCAAUAUAUCAAAAACAUACACCUCUUCUCCCUCCGCCAGCACUUUCCCUUACCUUCUCCUACUACCACCAUUGCCACUAGCACCACCUCCUACCACCAUCAACACUCACCUCUCCUACCGCCAUCACCCCCCUUCUUCUUCUUCUUCUUCUCUCUCUCUCUCUCUCUCUCUCUCUCUCUCUCUCUCUCUCUCUCUCUCUCUCUCUCUCUCUUCUCUCUCUCCUCUCCCCUCUCCCUUCACCCAGCCAUCCCCCUUUCCACCUCCCCUCUUUCUCCCUACCCCGCCCCCUCUCCCUUUCCUGAUCUGGUCACACCCUUCCUCGCCCCUGAUCUCAUUCCCCCAGCUGUCCCAUUUGACUGAGUACCACACGCUUGCGGAUGUUUUGGAACUGGCUCAGAAACUCCAUUUAUCAUUGCCGAAAAGGACAUCUACCUGAAUCAUUUUUACAUCAAAAAGAUAAAUAAGAUUCUCAUACAUACUUGAAUCCACACAGUACUUUUGUAGCAUAACUAUAUAGAUUUGUUGCAUAACAAAAUGGUAGAAAUAGACGUUACUUCGACCACAAAAGGGGAGAAACAAUGUUGCAAAUUUGAGCGUUUGGCUCUUCUCCUUUUAGAUUACUUAACAAGAUUGUUUUUCCAAAGAUUGUAACUCUCCUUUUUUUUUUUUUAGGGUUUCUCGCAAAGAAUGGAUCCAGCAGACUAAUCCCUGCACCCGACAACUUGCUGGCAGCGAGACUCAAACCAGGGACAACACCCCAUCUUCAGCAGCCCCAUGCCAACAGACCAAGCCCUGGAGGGCCCAAGGAUUGUAACUCUUACUUUACUAUUAAUUCAUGCAUGUUCAUUACCCCAAAAAGAAAGGGCAAACCCUUUUCCCGCGAACAAAAGACACUGCAUUUUACCUGUUACAGUAAGCAACAAGGUAUCGUACUCCACGAUGGAAAUUCACCAAUCCACGAUGUAGAUCAAAUUGGGUAAAAAAAUGGCAAGAGAAAAUCAGCAAAAUUUUUUAAAUUUGCACAGUAGCCCACAAUUGUUCCAAAAUAUCGGUAUCUCAGCACGGUGAACAAAAAAUUCUUUAGAAACCAUUUGGUCUCUCCCCACUCCUUGCCGAUCUGUUCUGUACAUCUGCAUCAUAAUGUGCAAAAGCUGCGUCUAGGGCCUGCAGCAAAAGGCUUGGUCCAUGAAUACACAGCUGCUCUGUCAAAGCAAAAAAAGGGCAAGAAAAUGUCUGGAUAUUUGCCAUGUUUUGUCAAUAGGAUUAAUGAAGUCAUCUUCCAUAUUGAAGUAACAUACAGGAGGUCGUCAAGAAUAUGCUCAUGCCAGAUACCCAGUAACAAAAUGGGUAUACGGACUCAGCUUAUCUGAAAUAUAUCUAACCAAAACAACUAAUAAACUUCUCUUUUGUGUUUCACAAAUGUUCACAUUUCAUGAAAUAGUUGAAAAGAUAACCUGAAGCAUUGGUUGCACAAGAAGCGAAACUUGAUGUCGCAAGUCUGACUGCACAGAUUCCUUGAUCUCCUGCAAAGUUAUAUGCAAGAAAAAUCAACUUAGAAGCAAGUAAAGCAGCUUUUAUAUGGGCAGAAAAAAAUUUGCUACCCAAGCCAGCUACGGAAAGAUACGAGAACACACAAUUAUACUGCACUAACUAUUUCACAUUAUAUUCAAGGUUUUCUUCAAUAAUAAACAGUAUACGCUUGUUAUUAUGCAUGAUCCUAGUGCGAAACUUAAAAAAAACAAACACAUAAAUUAGGCAAACACAUCCUUUUUAGCGCUUCAGACACCUUUUCCACCUUUCAUUAGUUUAGAAUAAUAACUAGCUCAUCUUCUUUUUGGCAUGAGAAAAUCAGGAGGUAGAGAUAGUGGGCUUUUUAGUCUCUUGAGCUGACAAAAAACUAAGAAGAACGAGGAAAAAGUUCAAAAGGUCUCCUGAACUAAACAAUUAUCAAGAAAUAGCAAUUGAUGAUCUUAGCAUUCAUACAAAACAAAUUGAUGUAUCUUUUGAUAACUUUUUUAUUUGUUUCUUCAUUAAACAUUUUACCACCACAAAAGUUGAAGCUUUCGGAGAAAUAUAACAGCAAGAAUCACGAAAUAAGAUGUUCUUAACACUUAGUGACUAGUAAUCUGCUGCCCAGGGAAGGAAAGAGCCUGCUGGCAGUAGCAAAAGGGGAGGGCAUCAGCAUCUUUUACUCUUCCCUUAUCCAUAAAGCUCCUGUAUCCAUAAUAUCACAAUACCUG